Molecule: ribosomal RNA, 491 nt
Filed under: uncultured bacterium
Lineage: Bacteria
Description: partial 16S ribosomal RNA
Rfam family: Bacterial small subunit ribosomal RNA
Source: RNAcentral
AGUGAACGCUGGCGGUAGGCCUAACACAUGCAAGUCGAACGGCAGCACAGUAAGAGCUUGCUCUUACGGGUGGCGAGUGGCGGACGGGUGAGGAAUACAUCGGAAUCUACUUUUUCGUGGGGGAUAACGUAGGGAAACUUACGCUAAUACCGCAUACGACCUACGGGUGAAAGCAGGGGAUCUUCGGACCUUGCGCGAUUGAAUGAGCCGAUGUCGGAUUAGCUAGUUGGCGGGGUAAAGGCCCACCAAGGCGACGAUCCGUAGCUGGUCUGAGAGGAUGAGCAGCACCACUGGAAAUGGGAAACGGUCCAGACCCCUAGGGGGGGAACCAGUGGGGAAUUUUGGAAAAGGGGGGCAAGCCUGAUCCAGCCAUACCGGGUGGGGGAAGAAGGCCUUCGGGUUGUAAAGCCCUUUUGUGGGGAAAAAAAAGCAGCAGGUUAAUACCCCGCUGUUCUGACGGCACCCAAAGAAUAAGCCCCGGCUAACUUCGU